ACGCAGUUUCUCUGAAGAAACUAUAGAACCGGUGACGAAUGGGGUAGAUGAGCGAGAAGGCUGUCUAAAAUAUCCAGUGUCUCUGAAUUUUUCAAUCUACCCUGCAUAUGCAAUCGUCGGGACCAAGAACAUCUUCCUCCUCAUGCACGGACCUAGCAUGACAAGAACCCAGUGAAAUAACGGUAUCGGACAAAAUAACAGGUUUACCGUCCACUGUAGACUCCCACUGUUCAGCCUCAGAGGAAUGUGCAUAAUAGGGUUUUAACAAAUUUACAUGGCACAGUUGGUGUGCUUUUCUCCGUUCUGGAGUGGCAACUAGAUUGUUUUGCUCAGUGCACUGGCGCACAACCGUAUAUGGAUCUUCAAACUUGGCUUGUAAAGGAGAGCCAACAAUUGGCAGCAGACAUAUGUUGCUGGCCAACAUAUGUCCAGCAACGUCGUUGUGGGAAGUUGUCAUCACCAACUCUCGAAGCUUAACUGGUACAACAACCUGACUAAUCGCCUCCCCCAGAAAACAACUACCACGAGACACCCACUUUCUCAUCAGGACAUCCUCUUGGAGAAAAUAGCCAUGGACGACAUCUCCCAACUAUUCCACAGGCACAAUUUGGUCACAGCACUCUUCUAAUGUGAGGUCAGCCCGUUGCGCCUUGAUUAGAUCGGAGCGGGGUACAGAUAACGGGAUAGCAGGGAAAGUAGUGACAGAUUUCUUUGUGGCAUUCUCGUUAGCCGGCGCAGUGACCAGGUCGCCACGGCUCAUAGAACGCGUCACUGCACACGCAGAGAACACCUCUGGGGAAACUCUGCGCACUCUCAUCAGGAAUCCCUACAAAUGACGGCUUAGCGGAAACCACUAGAGAUGGAAACACGACAGGCCAUACACGCUCACCAGCCAAGUUAUUCCCAAGGAUAACGUCGAUACUGUCAUGACUGUCCUGAUCAGGUCAGGUUACAGGAGACCACAACCCUACAGAGUAUCUCUCAACCCCAACAGAGGAGGAGAGAUCUAGGGGUCUGAAGAUGUGGGGAUUUUAUGACCCCUCACGCCCAUGAUAAAUCUUAG
This 1063-nucleotide long non-coding RNA is filed under the name Salmo salar (Atlantic salmon). RNAcentral describes it as "lncRNA (ENSSSAG00000082670.1, ENSSSAG00075066445.1)". The record is from RNAcentral. Lineage: Eukaryota; Metazoa; Chordata; Actinopteri; Salmoniformes; Salmonidae.